This 404-nucleotide unclassified non-coding RNA is filed under the name soil metagenome. Its description in RNAcentral is "partial contains 5.8S ribosomal RNA, internal transcribed spacer 2, and large subunit ribosomal RNA". The stretch from base 1 to 120 matches the Rfam family "5.8S ribosomal RNA", at positions 35 to 154 of the family's 154-position model. The record is from RNAcentral.
GAUGAAGAACGUAGCGAAAUGCGAUAAGUAGUGUGAAUUGCAGACUAGAGUGAAUCAUCGAGUUUUUGAACGCAUGUUGCGCUCUCUGGUAUUCCGGGGAGCAUACUUGACUGAGGGUCGGUAAAACAAAUCUCCGGAUUUCGUCCGGUGGUCGAUGGGUGUCAAUCCGGGUAGCCCCUUUGGGGAUCAAACCGGUCACCUGAAAUAAUAGGCUCCGCCCCGUUUAGCGGACUCGUGUAGUAACGCUUUUCUAGUAAACGACUUCACGAAAGGCGACGAAAGUGAAAGCCACGUUUUGGUUUUCAAUUGCAAAGCCAAAUGCGUCUUUCGGCGCACUCUUUUAUCCUGACCUCAGAUCAAGCAAGACCACCCGCUGAACUUAAGCAUAUCAAUAAGCGGAGGAA